This 244-nucleotide unclassified non-coding RNA is filed under the name Hevea brasiliensis (rubber tree). Lineage: Eukaryota; Viridiplantae; Streptophyta; Magnoliopsida; Malpighiales; Euphorbiaceae. The record is from RNAcentral.
GGGCGGGCAAUCUUUAACCAAAUGGAGUACGUUUAUGGGAUUGUGCCAGGGGUAAAACAUUACGCUUGCUUAGUUGAUAUACUUGGCCGUGCAGGUGAACUGGAAGUAGCUGAAAAACUGAUAAAUAAUAUGCCAGUAACCCCUGGUCCAUCAGUUUGGGGUGCUCUGCUUGGGGCAUGUAGAUUACACGGCAAUCUUGAACUAGCUGAACAAGCUUGUAACCGUUUAGUUGAGUUGGAACCUG